UCAACGAUGGUGCAGUGGUUAGCACUGUUGCCUCACAGCAAGAAGAGCGUGGGUUCGAACCCCGCCUGGGGCC
This is a non-coding RNA of Gymnothorax javanicus (giant moray), 73 nucleotides long. Lineage: Eukaryota; Metazoa; Chordata; Actinopteri; Anguilliformes; Muraenidae. The record is from the annotation of a GenBank genome assembly.